UGGGUUUCCUAUAAGCAACAAAAUGUUGAGU
RNAcentral lists this non-coding RNA (31 nucleotides) under Mus musculus (house mouse). The record is from RNAcentral. Lineage: Eukaryota; Metazoa; Chordata; Mammalia; Rodentia; Muridae.